AACGAACGCUGGCGGCAGGCCUAACACAUGCAAGUCGAACGCCCGUAGCAAUACGGGAGUGGCAGACGGGUGAGUAACGCGUGGGAACGUGCCCUUGGUUCGGAAUAACUCAGGGAAACUUGAGCUAAUACCGGAUACGUCCGUAAGGAGAAAGAUUUAUCGCCGAAGGAUCGGCCCGCGUCGGAUUAGCUAGUUGGUGAGGUAACGGCCCACAAGGCGACGAUCCGUAGCUGGGUCUGAGAGGACNGAUCAGCCACACUGGGACUGAGACACGGCCCAGACUCCUACGGGAGGCAGCAGUGGGGAAUAUUGGACAAUGGGCGAAAGCCUGAUCCAGCCAUGCCGCGUGAGUGAAGAAGGCCUUAGGGUUGUAAAGCUCUUUCAGC
This 386-nucleotide ribosomal RNA is filed under the name uncultured bacterium. RNAcentral describes it as "bacterial SSU rRNA". It matches the Rfam family "Bacterial small subunit ribosomal RNA", at positions 29 to 440 of the family's 1533-position model. The record is from RNAcentral.